Fundulus heteroclitus (mummichog) is the source of this 289-nucleotide long non-coding RNA. RefSeq lists it as uncharacterized. NCBI's taxonomy places the organism in Eukaryota, Metazoa, Chordata, Actinopteri, Cyprinodontiformes, Fundulidae. The record is from RefSeq and is a predicted model, not a curated record. The transcript is spliced from 3 exons.
UGGAAUACACUCCCACCGCCUUCAUCUGCUCAGUUACAUUAAUAAAUGAGAUUUCAAAAGACGAAGCAUCUGCAGUUAAAGUACAAAAAAAGAAAAAUCCAACUAAAGCCAUCUCCCUGACGACGCAUGUUUUACAGCUCGCAGAGAGGCUGCUGAAUUAAGGAGUGAUGCAAACACGCUCAUUUCUUUUCCCACUUCUGAAUAAAAGUUUAAGGAAGACUAAUCUUUAAAAAAACAACAACAUCAAUUUCUGAAAUUAAAUCAGUGCCCUUCAAGCAUGGAGUGAAGU